This is a long non-coding RNA of Herpailurus yagouaroundi (jaguarundi), 463 nucleotides long. RefSeq lists it as uncharacterized. The transcript has 3 exons. NCBI's taxonomy places the organism in Eukaryota, Metazoa, Chordata, Mammalia, Carnivora, Felidae. The record is from RefSeq and is a predicted model, not a curated record.
UAGGUUUUUGUAACCAGCCUUCAAGAUGGUCCCCAGUGAUUCUUUCAUGCUGGAAUUCAUGCCAUGUGUAAUCCCUCUCACACUGAAUAGAGCUAAAUAGAGCUCAUAUGUAUAAAUAAUUGGGUAUUGCAGAAAUGAUGGCAUGUGACAUCCAAGACUACAUCAUAAGAUAUUGCAGCUUCCACCUUGAUCCCUCUUGGAUCACGUGUUCUGGAAGAUGUAAGCCAUGAUGUAAGAACACUCAAGCAGCCUUAUGCGAGGUCCUCAUGUAAGCCAUCUUGGAAUCAGAUUCUCCAGCCCCCAAAAAAACUUUAGAAGACUAUAGCAUCAUGAGGGACCAUGACCCAGAACCAUUUAGGUCACUUCUAAAUAUUUUAUCAACAAACACUACAUGAGAUUUUAUGGUAAAGGCAAAUAACGAAGCAUUGGAUGCGAUCAUCACUGCCAGGUAGUGACCUGCCAG